AUACGGAGGAUCCGAGCGUUAUCCGGAUUUAUUGGGUUUAAAGGGUGCGCAGGCGGCCAUUUAAGUCAGCGGUUAAAUCGUGGGGCUCAACCCCAUUCUGCCGUUGAUACUGGGUGGCUUGAUUGCGGUCGAGGUUGGCGGAAUUCGUUGUGUAGCGGUGAAGUGCAUAGAUAUGACGAAGAACACCGAUUGCGUAGGCAGCUGACCAGAUCGCAAAUGACGCUCAUGCACGAAAGUGCGGGGAGCGAACAGGAGUAGAUACCCUGGUAGUCCGCACAGUAAACGAUGAAUACGUGUUUUCGGCGAUAUAAUGUCGGAGUCAAAGCGAAAGCGAUAAGUAUUCCUCCUGGGGAGUACGCCGGCAACGGUCAAACUUAUAGGAAUUGGCGGGG
This 392-nucleotide ribosomal RNA is filed under the name uncultured bacterium. RNAcentral's name for it is "partial 16S ribosomal RNA". It matches the Rfam family "Bacterial small subunit ribosomal RNA", at positions 523 to 918 of the family's 1533-position model. The record is from RNAcentral.